UGAGGAAUAUUGGUCAAUGGACGGAAGCCUGAACCAGCCAUGCCGCGUGCAGGAAGACGGCUCUAUGAGUUGUAAACUGCUUUUGUACGAGGGUAAACGCAGAUACGUGUAUCUGCCUGAAAGUAUCGUACGAAUAAGGAUCGGCUAACUCCGUGCCAGCAGCCGCGGUAAUACGGAGGAUCCAAGCGUUAUCCGGAUUUAUUGGGUUUAAAGGGUGCGUAGGCGGUUUAGUAAGUCAGCGGUGAAAUUUUGGUGCUUAACACCAAACGUGCCGUUGAUACUGCUGGGCUAGAGAGUAGUUGCGGUAGGCGGAAUGUAUGGUGUAGCGGUGAAAUGCUUAGAGAUCAUACAGAACACCGAUUGCGAAGGCAGCUUACCAAACUAUAUCUGACGUUGAGGCACGAAAGCGUGGGGAGCAAACAGGAUUAGAUACCCUGGUAGUCCACGCAGUAAACGAUGAUAGCUCGUUGUCGGCGAUACACAGUCGGUGACUAAGAGAAAUCGAUAAGCUAUCCACCUGGGGAGUACGUUCGCAAGAAUGAAACUCAAAGGAAUUGACGGGGGCCCGCACAAGCGGAGGAACAUGUGGUUUAAUUCGAUGAUACGCGAGGAACCUUACCCGGGCUUGAAAGUUACUGACGAUUCUGGAAACAGGAUUUCCCUUCGGGGCAGGAAACUAGGUGCUGCAUGGUUGUCGUCAGCUCGUGCCGUGAGGUGUCGGGUUAAGUCCCAUAACGAGCGCAACCCCUACUGAUAGUUGCCAUCAGAGCGUUUGAGCGAUCAAACAAGCUGGGCACUCUAUCGGGACUGCCGGUGUAAGCCGAGAGGAAGGUGGGGAUGACGUCAAAUCAGCACGGCCCUUACGUCCGGGGCGACACACGUGUUACAAUGGUAGGUACAGAGGGCAGCCACCCAGUGAUGGGGAGCGAAUCUCGAAAGCCUAUCUCAGUUCGGAUUGGAGGCUGAAACUCGCCUCCAUGAAGUUGGAUUCGCUAGUAAUCGCGCAUCAGCCAUGGCGCGGUGAAUACGUUCCC
RNAcentral lists this ribosomal RNA (1034 nucleotides) under uncultured bacterium. Its description in RNAcentral is "bacterial SSU rRNA". It matches the Rfam family "Bacterial small subunit ribosomal RNA", at positions 355 to 1375 of the family's 1533-position model. The record is from RNAcentral.